This 125-nucleotide ribosomal RNA is filed under the name Jaculus jaculus (lesser Egyptian jerboa). Lineage: Eukaryota; Metazoa; Chordata; Mammalia; Rodentia; Dipodidae. The record is from RNAcentral.
GUCUAUGGCCAUACCACCCUGAAUGUGCCUGAUCUUGUCUGAUCUCUGAAGUAAGCAGUGUUAGGCUUUGUUAGUACUUGGAUGGGAGAAAUAAUUUUUAAUCUAAAAUAAGCGCACUCUAAACU